UAGCCAUCGACGCGUACGGGUGUUGGGAGACAUAGCCCGGAGAUGGAUUCUGAGACACGAAUCCAGACCCUACGGGGUGCAGCAGGCGCGAAAACUUGGCAAUGCGAGAAAUCGUGACCAGGGAACUCCAAGUGGCUGGGGUAAGACCCAGUCUUUUCUUGACUCUUCAACGGUCUUGGAAUAAGGGGUGGGUAAGGACGGUGCCAGCCGCCGCGGUAAUACCGGCGCCUCAAGUGGUAGUCGAUUUUAUUGGGCCUAAAACGUCCGUAGCCUGUUUGGUACAUUCGUGGGUAAAUCAACCAGCUCAACUGAUUGAAUUCUGCGAGCACGGCCAGACUUGGGACCGGGAGAGGUGUGGGGUACGCUCAGGGUAGGGGUAAAAUCCUGUCAUCCUGAGCGGACCACCUGUUGCGAAGGCGCCACACUAGAACGGAUCCGACGGUCAGGGACGAAGCCUAGGGGCACGAACCGGAUUAGAUACCCGGGUAGUCCUAGGUGUAAACGCUGUGGACUUGGUGUUGGGGACUCUCCGAGAUUCCUCAGUGCCGAAGCGAAGGUGAUAAGUCCACUGCCUGGGGAGUACGGUCGCAAGGCUGAAACUUAAAGGAAUUGGCGGGGGAGCACAAGGGCGAAUACGCGGCCGGCAUAUU
RNAcentral lists this ribosomal RNA (650 nucleotides) under uncultured archaeon. RNAcentral's name for it is "bacterial SSU rRNA". It matches the Rfam family "Archaeal small subunit ribosomal RNA", at positions 254 to 906 of the family's 1478-position model. The record is from RNAcentral.